GCCUGCAUGGGGUAAUGGUUUGAGUAUUGGACUACAACUCUCGAGACCAGGGUUCAAUCCCCUGCUCAGCCA
Non-coding RNA from Phrynosoma platyrhinos (Desert horned lizard), 72 nucleotides. The record is from the annotation of a GenBank genome assembly. Lineage: Eukaryota; Metazoa; Chordata; Lepidosauria; Squamata; Phrynosomatidae.